RNAcentral lists this ribosomal RNA (398 nucleotides) under uncultured bacterium. Its description in RNAcentral is "partial 16S ribosomal RNA". It matches the Rfam family "Bacterial small subunit ribosomal RNA", at positions 523 to 918 of the family's 1533-position model. The record is from RNAcentral.
AUACGUAGGGUGCGAGCGUUGUCCGGAAUUACUGGGCGUAAAGAGCUCGUAGGUGGUUUGUCGCGUCGUCUGUGAAAUUCCGGGGCUUAACUCCGGGCGUGCAGGCGAUACGGGCAUAACCUGAGUACUGUAGGGGAGACUGGAAUUCCUGGUGUAGCGGUGAAAUGCGCAGAUAUCAGGAGGAACACCGGUGGCGAAGGCGGGUCUCUGGGCAGUAACGGACGCUGAGGAGCGAAAGCAUGGGUAGCGAACAGGAUUAGAUACCCUGGUAGUCCAUGCCGUAAACGGUGGGCGCUAGGUGUAGGGGUCUUCCACGACUUCUGUGCCGUAGCUAACGCAUUAAGCGCCCCGCCUGGGGAGUACGGCCGCAAGGCUAAAACUCAAAUGAAUUGACGGGG